Long non-coding RNA from Siniperca chuatsi (mandarin fish), 2964 nucleotides. RefSeq lists it as uncharacterized. The transcript is spliced from 3 exons. Lineage: Eukaryota; Metazoa; Chordata; Actinopteri; Centrarchiformes; Sinipercidae. The record is from RefSeq and is a predicted model, not a curated record.
UAGCUCUCACCGUGGUUUACUGCAGAGGUCGAAGACGCGAGAGGAAUGCGCAUGCGCAGUGUCACGUAAAAGACUUGACUUCCGACUUCCUGAUGGAGCUACCACACAGAUGGACCAUCUUCUAAAGGAUUUCCGAUGUACCUCAGGAUCCUGGAGAAACCAGAAAGGAACAGGAGACCAGACCAACCCAAUCUCACUGUCUUGCUCAAGCCCAGUAUUUACUGGCAGCUGUUUUAUGAGAUGGCGCCAUUCCCAUCCCGCCAUCGCCGAAAACCUUGGUGGACUUUUUGAAAUAUGUUUAUCAUUACAUUGAAGAGGACUGGACUAAUGACUGAGCCUUGGGGUGGAACCAUUAUCAAUGUCAACAGUUUCAGAAAAAUCUCCCCCAACUCUCACCUGAAUUGAUGUAUGGCUGAGGAAAUCCUUUAUGCAAUAAAACAUUCUGCCAUUAAUACCUGCAUCAGAUGGACCAUCAUGCUAGUACAGCAUGUUUAAAUGCCACAUCACUAAAGUUAAAACCAGGACAGUCCACAGUGCACAAACAUCAACAUUGACUGGGACCAACUCUGGCUCUGCCUGCAAAGUGAAUAUAUUCGUCACCUACCAGAUUUACACAAAAAGAUGCUUGUUUUUUUACUAUCCCAUAGAGACCAUUUGAAUAAAUGAUUAUAAUGUAUAUACACCCUUGAAUCCAAUAUACCACUACUAGAAAUUACAGCCUCCAAAAUUACCCAGACGUUGAAUCAUUCAGAAGUUCAUUGAGAAGAAGUCGCAACAGAAAUGUUCAUAAGCUUCACAAUGUAAAUGUUUAUUGUUCUAGUUGUCAUACAAGGGUCAGUAAGUAACUGCGAUUAUUUAACUAAAUAUGAAUCUAAACUUUUAUAAACUUUUUGAAAAUGAUCAAAGGUAAAAAAAACUGUUGUCUUAGUCUAAGUAUGCUAUCUAUAUUAGAGCUUUACCGAUCGCCAAAUUGGCCAGUCUGAUAUAUCGGCCUAUAUUAGUCUAUUGCAGAUUUAUCUGUGUUUGUAUCUGAUAAGUAACACAGUAAGUGUAAGAAAUUACAGUACAGAAAUGAGGUCUUUGAGGUCACUUAGAAACAAUGUCACCUUUACAUAGUUUGUCCAUCAGACACUGACAAGUAGAUUUUCCAACUGUAAAAUGUCCCACUUAGAAUAUAUCUUGGUCUCAAUUAGAGAAAUCUAUUUCAAGAUUGUUGUUUAUGUUUUGUUUUAAAAAAAUGGCUGAUAUAUUGUCAUCAGGUCUCUCCCAAAUAUCGAUAUCAGUAUCGGCCUCAAAAAUCCAAUAUCGGUCGGGCUAUAAUCUACAUUCACUUAAUUGUAUUUAUCGUGGCAAUUGGGUGAUGACGUAAUUUCCCUUUUAAAAAUCAUUCACAGCAGCAGAAGCAGUCCUAUUUACUUUAACUGAAUGUGAAUAUUGUCAGCUGUGAUAGGCCUUAGCUGUCACAUCCAGGUUGUUUCAAAGAAGGUAGCUCUGUUGUAUAUAUGUACCACUCACACAUUUUGUUUUAUUGUACAAAUAAAACACCAAAGAUGACAAUGGCAACACAGAUUUUGCAGUGGAUUAAGGGGUAAAUCUUUCCACUACGUCUGACGUGAAACUCUGGGAACGCUGACAUCAAAGGUGGCCCACAUUAGCAGUGAUCAGUCGACUGCAAACGCACUGAAUGGGAUAUUUAUUUCAAGUCCAAGACAGAAUAUAGCAAAAAUGCCUUAUCUCUAAAGGCUAAGAAGUCCUUAAAAGCAAGAGAAAUAGUAAGCGAACUGUGUAAGUGAAUAUGUGAGGUUAAUUUAGGAGAAAAAAUUGUAAAAUCUGAGAAGACAAAUAUUAACUGUGAUAAGUAGAUAGAUAAGUAAGUAAGUAGAUAAUACCCAUAUCACGUUUAUUUGUUUGUUAAUUUAUUAUUUUAUUUCCCAUAUAGGGACAAAGCAGAAAAUACAUUAUAAUGUUGGACACAUACCUGCGCAAUGAGUUCAGAAGGUUCAACUGUAAUAUAAGACACAAUGCCACAAGGGGGCAGCAACACACCAUGCAUGCAGAGUCUACAUGAUGUGAACUGGACAUUUUAAUUAAUUAAUUAUUUUAAUUCUGCCUGUAGAGCACAGCACUGUAGUGUUGUAGGCUACAUACUGUGCGAGAAAAUGUAUGUAAAAUAUGUUGCAUGCAAGAUUAAACAUAAAAACACAUGCAGAAGUAAAACUGAGAAAAAUGACCUAAAAUCAUUUGGGCUCCAAUAGGACAGUAACGAGAUUAGCCUCUAUUCAGGUGUUACAUAGCCUAGAUAUUUUAAACUGAAAGCAUUUUUCAUUAUUCAACUAAGGCAUGCAUCAGUAAAACCCAGCAGUAUUGGUAUAGGUAAGGCCUGUCAGCCAUAAAGAAUUACAGCUGCAAAUGCAAAGAAUUAUGGUUUUGUGGCUGCAGCCUUCAUUUUUCAGUCAGCAAGGUGGUGGGUGGAAAGCUAAGGAUGCAUGAUAAAUGAAUGCCACCGUGUGUAGAAUUUAAACGCGUUUAUAGACUAUUCACUGACACAUUUAAGUGUUUAUUUUAUGCAUACAUGCACAAAAAUGAAUUCAAGUGUGAUGGUAGCUUAUAAGGCCGCCACAGACCACGGAAUCAAUAACAAAUAUUUCGUAUGUUAUAAUGCUUUUUUCGCUUUAACUUUACCCAUAUCAUAAAGUGAGCAACUCCCUCACAUUAAAACGAAAUUCCCAUGAGAUCGUGUAAUUGUGGCCGUGACCUGCACCUUGCAGUGACCACGAAGCUCCAAACUGACAAUCAAUUCAAGCGAGACAAGCAAUCACAUUUCCAACAGCAUUCAUUAAGGUCUAUGCAUUGCGACUUAAUACACAUUACCGUCUUGCAUCAUGUGGAUAUAUUUCCACCAUCUCUAAAUUGAUCUCCUAAAUUAAUAGUAAUUAUUUAUAUCACGCUGACUUUAAGUGGGCU